Long non-coding RNA from Dama dama (fallow deer), 1511 nucleotides. RefSeq lists it as uncharacterized. NCBI's taxonomy places the organism in Eukaryota, Metazoa, Chordata, Mammalia, Artiodactyla, Cervidae. The record is from RefSeq and is a predicted model, not a curated record. The transcript has 5 exons.
GCGCUUGCGGCGGGCGGUUCAGACCUCGCAGACCUGGCCCCUCGCCAAGGGGCCCAGGAGGCGGCUCUUGGCCGCCCGCACCGCUCUUUCCGGGCACCGAGUCUCUCGGACUCGUCACGCAUCAGUGCCCUGCGGCAUGUCUUCUUCCUUUACCUGCCGCUCUCCGCCGCUUCCACCCUCCGGUCGCUCUCCUCUCUUCCGCUACCCCAGGUUGGAGGAACUUUCUGGCUCGCUCCUGACUUCACUGGGACUUUAUCGGCCUGUCACGUGGUUGCUUAUCGUUUUUCCUGUGUUUUGACUCCUCUGGGAGAGAACCCUUUAUCGGGAGGUGAAGGACUCUGCCUCAAGAUGGGGAAGUCUGCCCCCCUCCGGGGAUGCGGAUGCGUUGCUGAUGCUUCUCCAGAGGUCUCUGAUCCGGGCUGAUGGUCUUCUUCCAAACCCUCUUCUAUCUGGUGUACAUCUGGAGGAUUGACUGGAACUGUGCGGCAGAACAGCACUGCCCAGGCCGCCAUGCACAGGUGUCAGUGAGUCUGCGGGCUGAAUGAGGGACUCAGACCUCAGGGGGAGACCACGUGCACCAUGCUUCAAGCCUGGUUACUAGAUCCAAGUCAAGUUACUGGUCAGAGACAGAUGGCUUUGCUUCAAGUCAACCCAGUCCUGACAUCCGAGUUUCCCUCCCAGCAGCCUGUGUGAGAGAAGACGCACAGGACUGCUGCUGUAUCUCUUGGAGCCUGUUGUGCUUGUCUGGGGCAUGGGCUUCCAUCACAGGCUGUGCACGGUGUGAGUCUACAAGAGAAACUUCCUAAGAUCAGCAUCAAGAAAGGCUGUAAAAGAAUGGAAUUAGAACACUUCCUAACACCAUACACGCAGAUAAACUUAGAAUGGAUUAAAGACCUAAAGUAAAGCCAGGAACUGUAAAACUCUUAGAGGAAAACAUAGGCAGAACACUCUGACAUAAAUUGCAGCAAGAUCCUCUUUGACCCACCUCCUAGAGAAAUGGAAAUAAAAACAAGUGGGACCUAAUUAAAAGCUUCUGCACAGCAAAGGAGACUAUUAUAAACAAAAUUUAAAAAAAAACAACCCUCAGAGGAGGGAGGUUCAAAAGGGAGGGGAGAUGUGUAUAACCUAUGGCUGAUUCAUGUUGAGGUUUGACAGAAAACAGCAAAAUUCGGUAAAGCAAUUAUCCUUCAAUAAAAAAUUAAAAACAACCCUCAGAGUGGGAGAAAAUAAUUGCUAAUGAAACAACUGACAAAGGAUUAAUCUCCAAAAUAUACAAGGAGCUCAUGCAGCUCAAUACCAGAAAAACAACCCAAUCAAAAAAUGGGCAGAAGACCUAAACAAACAUUUCUCCAAAGACAUACACGGGACGACAAGAGGAUGAGAUGGUUGGAUGGCAUCACCAACUCAAUGGACAUGAGUUUGGGUAAACUCUGGGAGUUGGUGAUGGACAGGGGGGCCUGGCAUGCUGCUGUUCAUGGGGUUGCCAGGAGUCACACAACUGAGCGACUGAA